Molecule: non-coding RNA, 241 nt
Organism: Plectropomus leopardus (leopard coralgrouper)
Lineage: Eukaryota; Metazoa; Chordata; Actinopteri; Perciformes; Serranidae
Source: RefSeq, a predicted model, not a curated record
AAGACUGAGGAACAACUCAUCAACUCAGGAAAUGGGACCAUUGGAGGACCAUGUGAAUGCAGCUCAUGGCUUUACCAACAGAGUGGCCCGCGACAUGACUCUCCUCUUAGUGUGAUGGAAAAUCAUAGCCAUGUGCACCGAUCCAACUGUUAAAAAUACACUUGGCUGGUCUGCACUGGCCUACAGCUUGGAAGAUGUCCUGCCAAGGUGACAUGCCAUCCACCAUCCCCUCCACCUCCAG